CGGACAUAAUAACACUAAAAGGUAGAUUAUUGGUGGGUCUAAUCAUUUUUUCUUGCAUAUACCUUCACCGUACAGGGCAUGCAGGCAGCCUGAUAUUAUGAAGUAAAUAAUGCAACCAGAGGUGGUUCUUUUUUCUUUUUUUUGGCAGAACCUUCCCAAACCAGUCUGACCUAGCACCUAGCAAUGUUCUUGGCUUUGCUCAGCAACAGCUUGGGAACCCAAAUCUCCUUCUGAACCCAGAUGGCAGUGUGUAGCCAUAUGUCAACAACAUAUGCCACCCUGAUUUCUUUUUUUAAAAAAAAUAAUCACAUCAAUUCUGCCAGCUACACAAAUGGAUCUUAACCCAUUGUGCAGCAAAGAAGUCUCUUCCCUGCCAAUCCCAUUUGUCCUCCAUGGACAUGUGUCUGCCCAGGCAGCAUCACUGAAAAAGUGUAAUUAUAGAUGCUAUAGCAACAUUUUUUUUUUUUACCAGGCAUUGUGUUUCAGAUCCAUUUGUCGGUCUUCUGUUGGCCUUGAUGUUGUGGGGGGGAGAGAGAAAACUGGGGAGAAAGUUUAUCUAUAUUUGAGUUUUUGAUUAGAAGAAGCAAAUGGGCUUUUAAUUUCUUCUUAGAAUCUGUUCACUUUCAAACCAGUUGAACUGAAUCUUUUAGAAUGAACCAUUCUCAAAUACAGAGCUGCAGGGAUUGCUUUUCCAGUCUCCAUACUGUUAAUUGCUUUUGCUAGUAAUCCACAGCCAUUCAAACAGAACGACAAAAUAAAUAUAAAUUUGCUGUCCAAGUCAGUAUUUCCAUAGUAAAUAUCCCAGGUACAAUAAUCAAAACUAGCUUCUCCUAAUAUUAAUGGUACAGUUCAUGGUUAAAUUGAAAUAGCCUUUCCAAACAGCAGCCUAUUUUGGAUUAAGCAAAACAAGGAAGGCUGCACUGUAUCCUUAUCGUCAACUGAAGCUUCAGUUUUCAGAACUGAUGUUCCAUUCCAACAUGUUAAGCCGCACAUUUUCUAGAUUUGUCCAGACAUAAAAUCCACAGUGAAGUUACAUAUGGGUUUAUUCACUAAUAUGAUGAGAUCCAUAUGCAACAAAUUGUAAAAAAAAAAAAAUCGAGUGUCUGAUGGAUUAGAACAGGCAUUUUCAAGCCAAUUUUUUUCAAAUUUUGGAUGAGAACCACUUUAUAGUAAAUGCAGGAAAGAAGAACCCUAUAUCUGUGAUAUUU
Pseudonaja textilis is the source of this 1208-nucleotide non-coding RNA. Lineage: Eukaryota; Metazoa; Chordata; Lepidosauria; Squamata; Elapidae. The record is from RefSeq and is a predicted model, not a curated record.